CAACCCUAGCUCACGCUACCGAUAAGUGUUGUUGAGUCAGUUUAGUUUUCUUGAUUCUCGUUUUGGUAGAUAUUUUGUGUCCAUUCGAAUCCUCAAUCUGUAAUGUGAAGUCUCAUACUUUUUCCACUCAAAUUGGAAACUCCUAGGCUUUGAUGUGGGCAACCCUAGCUCACGGUACAGACGGGUAUUGUUGAUUCUGUUCAAUUUUUUUUGCUCAUGUUUUG
RNAcentral lists this long non-coding RNA (224 nucleotides) under Prunus persica (peach). RNAcentral describes it as "long non-coding RNA (PPER_LNC008522)". The record is from RNAcentral. Lineage: Eukaryota; Viridiplantae; Streptophyta; Magnoliopsida; Rosales; Rosaceae.